RNAcentral lists this ribosomal RNA (253 nucleotides) under uncultured bacterium. RNAcentral describes it as "partial 16S ribosomal RNA". It matches the Rfam family "Bacterial small subunit ribosomal RNA", at positions 524 to 776 of the family's 1533-position model. The record is from RNAcentral.
UACAGAGGGUGCAAGCGUUGUUCGGAAUUAUUGGGCGUAAAGCGCGUGUAGGCGGCUUUGCAAGUCGGGUGUGAAAUCCCUCAGCUCAACUGAGGAAGUGCGCCCGAAACUGCAGAGCUUGAGUACCGGAGAGGAUGGCGGAAUUCCCCAAGUAGAGGUGAAAUUCGUAGAUAUGGGGAGGAACACCGGUGGCGAAGGCGGCCAUCUGGACGGAUACUGACGCUGAGACGCGAAAGCGUGGGGAGCGAACAGG